AUGAGUUUUGAACAAAGUUGUUCUGGUCUUUCGGGGCAAGUGAACACUUCACUCAAUCCAUCUUACACCUGUGCAUCUUUUGUGGGGAAAAGCUGAGGAUUCAAGUUGGUUAACGACGGCAAAUCCUUGUAUGUGUCCUUGUACCUUCUACAUACAAACAACAGUCAUAAGAAAGUCUUUAUUGCUUGAUGCAAUACAAAAUAAAUA
RNAcentral lists this unclassified non-coding RNA (207 nucleotides) under uncultured fungus. RNAcentral describes it as "sequence contains ITS1, 5.8S rRNA gene". The record is from RNAcentral. Lineage: Eukaryota; Fungi.